This is an RNA transcript of Nicotiana tabacum (common tobacco), 2194 nucleotides long. It is a transcript of the gene named putative F-box/LRR-repeat protein 9, with no coding region annotated. NCBI's taxonomy places the organism in Eukaryota, Viridiplantae, Streptophyta, Magnoliopsida, Solanales, Solanaceae. The record is from RefSeq and is a predicted model, not a curated record.
CAACCCCAAAAAGGCUGUGUGUCUGGAGAACUGAAUUUAUUGGCGCUUUCACUUCUUUCCUUUUGCUCUAUCCAGAAAAAUCAAAACUCUAAUUUUCGCGAAGAAAAAGCAAAAUGCCGAGAGGACAGAAAAUCCUGAAACCAUCAUGUUCUUCCUCAAUUGCACCACCGUCGUCAUCACCGCCGUGGGUGGAGCUUCCACGGGAAAUCACGGAAAACAUUCUGCAGCGGCUGGGAACGAUAGAGAUAGUGGAGAGUGCAGAGAGAGUUUGCAGUACGUGGUGGAAGGUGUGCCAUGACCCCGCUAUGUGGCAUGUUAUUAUUGACUUGAAAUAUGACGUUUUUAGUUUCAAGACGCCUAGGGUUUUGGAGCAGAUAUGUCGGAUUGCUGUGGAGCGUAGCCAGGGCCAGUUACUCAAAAUUAACAUCGACAAUUUUGGUAGCAAAGAUUUGCUCGACUACAUUGCUCAGAGAUCAAGUCAGCUCAGACAUCUCCGACUUGUCAAGUGUUAUUGUAACUUAGCUGGAGGUUUGGCUGCAAUUGCCAAGAACCUUCCGUUGUUGGAGGAGUUGCACAUUCAUUUCACCGUGAUCACUAAAGAUGAUAUAGAAAUUAUUGGUCGUUCUUGCCCUCUGCUCAAGUCAUUUAUAUUGAAUGCCAGUGUAUCUGUUACCUUUGGACUUCCAUCAUUUCAAGACGAUGAUCAAGCUCUAGCUAUUGCCAGAAGUAUGCCUAAAUUGCAGCGCCUUUCGCUUCUUGAGAAUACCUUGACAAAUGUAGGGCUGCAAGCCAUUCUUGAUGGCUGUCCACAUCUUGAAUUGCUUGACUUGCGCUACUGUUAUAAUCUAAAUCUUGAAGGGGAUUUAGGAAGAAGAUGUAGGCAACAGAUUGUAGAUUUAAAGCUCCCUCAGGAUUCAACUUAUGAUUAUGGUUUCUUUGACAUUAAUUAUGGUUAUGAAGAUGAUGUUUACUUUGACAUUGAUGAUGGUUAUGAAGAUGAUGUUUACUUUGACAUUGAUGACUGGAGUAACUUAUAUUGAUGUCAUUUUCAAACCAAAAAUUAUGAUGGUUUUUGGUUGCUUUUGGGUUAUAUGCAUGGCAUCUUUUUGCAACAGUAACAGAUGUUGUAACGAUCGGCCGAUUGUUUUGAGAAUUUAAGCUCCGUUCGGCGGCGUAAAGUCUUCAACAGCUUCAUAUUAUGUGUAUCGACUUGCGUGCAUGGAUGAAUUCAGUUACCGGAUGAUUCAGAAUCAAAUUGGAAGAAUGAGUCUAGUUUUGGAAGCUUAAGCGGUGAGAAUUUGAUCGGAAUUUGACUUUUGGGUAAACGGCUCCGGAAUGAGUUUUGGAUGAUGCCAGAAUUGGACUUAGGCGCGCAUGCAGAAUCGGAUUUAGGGGUCCAUAGGGUGAUUUGGAGCAUUUCGGCGAAAGUUGGAAAUGGAGAAGUUUGACCCAUAGUUGACUUUUGUGAUAUCCGGGUCGGAAUGUGAUUCCAAGAGUUGGAACAGCUCAGUUAUGUCAUUUGGGACUUGUCCGCAAAAUUUGGCGCCAUUCCGGGUUAGUUUGAUUGGUUUCGGCACGGGUUUUAGAAGUUGGAAGAUUUGGACGUUGCUUGAUGUGAUUUGAGACCUCGAGUAAGUCCGUAUUAGGUUAUAGAACUUGUUUGUGUAUUUAGACGGGGUCCCAGGGGCCUCGAGUGUGUUCAGAGUGGGUUACGGGCCAUUUAUCUCCUAUUUUGAACUGUUGUUACUUGCCAUCUGGUUUUCUUCUUCGCGUUCGUGUCUGCUCCUCCGCGUUCGCGAAGAGUAAUUUUGGAGGAGGAAUUAAUUGUUCAUCGCGUUCGCAUGACCUCGUUCGCGAUCGCGAAAGUCUGUUUACACCUUCUUUGCGUUCGUAUCUUCUCUGUCCGCGUUCGUAUAGUUCUUUCAUUUGGGCAACAAAUUAUUCCUUAAAUGCAAUGCUUUGUGAUCGCGAAGUGUGGCUUUGGGCAACUGAUAAUUCCUUCACUCCGCGAUCGCAUAAGCCCUUCUGCGAUCCGUAGCACAUUUCGGACAGUAGCCAUUUUCCUUCUACGUGAUCGCAUCAUUUCUUUCGUGACCGUGAUGUAUAAAUACCUGGGCAGGUAAAAUAUAUUUCCAAAUCGAGGGUUAGACUAUUUUUAUCAUAUCUUGACUUGUAGAGCUCGAUUUUGAGCGAU